This is a small nuclear RNA of Bos indicus x Bos taurus (hybrid cattle), 167 nucleotides long. Its record names the gene U1. It matches the Rfam family "U1 spliceosomal RNA". Rfam says of the family: U1 is a small nuclear RNA (snRNA) component of the spliceosome (involved in pre-mRNA splicing). Its 5' end forms complementary base pairs with the 5' splice junction, thus defining the 5' donor site of an intron. The record is from Ensembl. NCBI's taxonomy places the organism in Eukaryota, Metazoa, Chordata, Mammalia, Artiodactyla, Bovidae.
AUACUUACCUGGCAGGGGAGAUACCAUGAUCACGAAGGUGGUUUUCCCAGGGCGAGGCGUAUCCAUUGCACUCCGGAUGUGCUGACAGAGCGUUACCGGCAGGUGGUGCCCUGAAUGUGGAUCUGUCUUAACCGCCUUAUUAGCCAGAUAGUGUCCUCCAUCACUGC